This 643-nucleotide ribosomal RNA is filed under the name uncultured Actinomycetes bacterium. RNAcentral describes it as "bacterial SSU rRNA". It matches the Rfam family "Bacterial small subunit ribosomal RNA", at positions 232 to 885 of the family's 1533-position model. The record is from RNAcentral. Lineage: Bacteria; Bacillati; Actinomycetota; Actinomycetes.
CGCGGCCUAUCAGCUUGUUGGUGAGGUAACGGCUCACCAAGGCGACGACGGGUAGCCGGCCUGAGAGGGCGAUCGGCCACACUGGGACUGAGACACGGCCCAGACUCCUACGGGAGGCAGCAGUGGGGAAUAUUGCACAAUGGGCGAAAGCCUGAUGCAGCGACGCCGCGUGGGGGAUGACGGCCUUCGGGUUGUAAACCUCUUUCAGUAGGGACGAAGCGGAAGUGACGGUACCUACAGAAGAAGCACCGGCCAACUACGUGCCAGCAGCCGCGGUAAUACGUAGGGUGCAAGCGUUGUCCGGAAUUAUUGGGCGUAAAGAGCUCGUAGGCGGUCUGUCGCGUCGGCUGUGAAAACCCGAGGCUCAACCUCGGGCCUGCAGUCGAUACGGGCAAACUAGAGUGUUGCAGGGGAGACUGGAAUUCCUGGUGUAGCGGUGAAAUGCGCAGAUAUCAGGAGGAACACCGGUGGCGAAGGCGGUUCUCUGGGCAUUACCUGACGCUGAGGAGCGAAAGUGUGGGGAGCGAACAGGAUUAGAUACCCUGGUAGUCCACACCGUAAACGUUGGGCGCUAGGUGUGGGGCCUAUUCCAUGGGUUCCGUGCCGCAGCUAACGCAUUAAGCGCCCCGCCUGGGGAGUACGG